AAUCAACGCUGGCGGCGUGCCUCAGACAUGCAAGUCGAACGCGAAAGUUCCCUUCGGGGGGAUGAGUAGAGUGGCGCACGGGUGAGUAACACGUAGGUAAUCUACCUUUGGAUGGGGAAUAACAACCGGAAACGGUUGCUAAUACCGCAUAAUGCAGCGGCACCUAAUGGUGACAGUUGUUAAAGCGGGGGAUCGAAAGACCUCGCGUCUGAAGAGGAGCCUGCGGCGGAUUAGCAGUUGGUAAGGUAACGGCUUACCAAGGCACGAUCCGUAGCCGGCCUGAGAGGGGCGGUCGGCCACACUGACACUGACAUACGGGUCAGACUCCGUACGGGAGGCAGCAGUCGGGAAUUUUGGGCAAUGGGCGAAAGCCUGACCCAGCAACGCCGCGU
RNAcentral lists this ribosomal RNA (392 nucleotides) under uncultured bacterium. Its description in RNAcentral is "bacterial SSU rRNA". It matches the Rfam family "Bacterial small subunit ribosomal RNA", at positions 32 to 402 of the family's 1533-position model. The record is from RNAcentral.